AUGAUUUCCCAGUACUUGGCUCCAGAAACUCUGCGUCAAACAGUCAACAAGGGGCAAAUUUCAGGAAGGUGGCCAACUAUUGCUUCUGGUAUUGUGGCAACACAAGAUAAAGAAGGAAAGAACCCGAUAACUGGAACUGGUGAGGUAAUUUUGUCUUGCAGUUAUGAGCAUGAAAUUAUCUCAAGAAUGGACUAUGUUUGCAAAGGAGACGAUCCUAUUCCUGCUGCAAAGUUGAUAAGGGGAGCUGAGCAGGCUCAACUGCAUGAUCCCCAAGUUCCUAAUAUAUGUAUACCUCCUCCAUUGUUGGAUUACUGGCAUCGUCCUCCUGAUCAGCCACCUGAUGAAAAUGGAAAAUUGCAUAGUGGAGAGAUGCCAUAUGGUCUGUACAAGCAUGCUGACCCGACUGGCUUUGCUGUUGAAUCUCUUGCUCAUCGUGAUCAGUUCGCGCUCAACGAGGAGGCACUAGCAAAGCAGGAUACUGGACAUGGUGGGUAUUAUCCAGACAAGAGGGAUAUAUCUCAUGCUCACAUGCCUGCUGAUUGUUGUGUCAUAAAUCAAUCUUGCCAUGUUCUUGGGAAGGUCAAGAAUGGCCAUGCAGAUGUACUUGAGAUCGAGAAGCAACCUAUCAUCAAGAAGGAUGUGGCUCUAUUAGAGAAAAUCAAGUGUCUAAACAACAAAGCUAGAAAUUUCCGUGCCCUUAACUUGUCCAAUCUACCUUCAUCUCUACUCAAGGACUCCAAGGUUAAACACCCAAAAAUCAUCCGUGUCGAGGAAGAUCCUGCGACAAAAUAUGUUCCCUUCAGUGCUUCCACCAGUGAGACUGGUCCUGCCUUUGACAGGCUUAAUUCUGUUUCUCAAAGCAGCAGUUCUGUGUCAACUAAUCCAUCAAAUGGGCCUGAUAAGGGUGUAACUGUUGUUUGUCUGUCAGAAAAACAAGUUACUGAAUUCAGCCAAGCUGGAAAAGUUGGCAAAUCUGCUGAUCGCCAUGCAUAUGGAAGAAGCGAUAUCUCAAGAAACAUGCUUGAUGGUUCUGCUCAGGACAUGCCAUCUCGUAUUACUGGACAUGGAUGUGAAGAGCACUCCAUAGUUGACUCUUUGCGAGGAGUUCUUAUGGUAGAUGCUCAACAAGACCAACUUCUUUCUAGGAACACCUCACAGCAGCCACAUGUGACAGUCGCUGAUAAGGAGCCAAAUUGGCUUCACUGUGAAGACCAGCAUUCCAGAAUGAGAUAUUUGUCUGCUCAAGCUGCGAAACAACUACAGGACGCGGAGAAGUGGAUUAGUCAACAAAAUAUAAAUGCUAUUGCAAAACUGGAAGAAUUGAGGAGGUAUCAAUCAAUACAGAGUCAGAAGUCCAAUGAUGCACCCCCAGACGCAGAUAUGUACUGCAAACCAAAAACGCGAGAUGAUGUGACUGCUAAAUGUGCUAGUUCAGUGGCAGAUACAUGUUGUAUUGUCUCUGCUGAUGGUCAUAAUGCGCCUCAGCCAGUAGCUGGAGUCAAGAUUAGUGAAGUUUCUAUUGGUUCCAGUGCAGAAUCAAAUACUUCAGGUGUUAGUAAAGGUUAUAAUUUCAGGUCUUCAGCCAAGAGCACACAGGUUAACAUGAUGGAACACAUUUCCCUCAACUCACUGUCACAUGACAACAGUACUCCAGAACACUGGCCAAUGGAGCACAGGCAAAUGCAUUUUGGUUCAUGGGAGAGAAAUAUAACAGAUAGGGAGAUACCUGCAGACACGAAGUGUGCUGAAGCUAAAAAUCAUGGCGACCUCUUGACCAGAAACAAGAGCAGCAGGAGGAACUUUAAUUCAGUUAGGCCUGCAGCGCCACCUGUGUUUAAUGAGAAGAAUUCUACAGAAGUCCUGAGUAUGCAGAAAACCCAUGUUCCAUGUAUUGCCAUCAAUAGUUCUAUAAUUCCUGCCAAGGUUACUUCUGUUACAGGUCUUAUUGUGGGUAAUAUAAUGCUUGAUGAUGUUCCACUUGCAUCAGUAAACCGGGAGUGGGCAGUACCGGCCAAGGAAGUACAUGAUGCAGCUAGUAGCCUCUCAGGGCCUCGGCAGGUCAAGAAAUCAGACAAGAGCCAGCAUGGUCUACUGCCUGUCCAGACUCCAAUUCCAAACAAUAGUGUCAUGUGCAAACCGAUUAAACAGACAGGCAGGAAAGAAGAGCAUGCAGAAGGAGGUCCGAAUGGUAUGGCUGUAGUUGAUGGACUUGCUUCGGCGGUGCAAAUUCUCGCUAAACCGGCAGAGUACUUCAAUGUGGCAGAUGUUAUACAGGAGUCAUCUGAUCAGUGGCAGCAAGGAGAUGUGCAAUUUGAGCUCAAGGCCCAUGGUGGUACCGAGGACCGUUCAAAACUAACUGGAAUGGCGUCCUUGCCUGACAAUACUUGGGAAAAGCAUCCGGCAACUGACAGUCCAAGGCGCUACCAUGUUGAGGCCCAAAGGAAUGUGGGGAUUCGCUAUGGUUACAGGGAGAGGGCAGGCAGGGGACGCUUCUUCCACGAAUCACCAGCUCCGUCUAGGGCUCGCUGGAUGCCUAAAUACAUCUCCCAUCCUCAGAGCGAUGCACAAUAUGAUGGUGUCUCUGAAUGGCUGCAGGAUUCCCACCAAUUCUUAUUGGACAACUCACAGGGAUUGGACAGCAAACCGAUUCAGAUAGCUGACAGGGAUGCUGGAAUGGAUCUGCAGGGUGGAGAAGGCAAUGUAGGCAUGAGCUUCAGAGAUGAAAACCCCUUGAUAUGGAACGAAACAGAGUGGGAGUAUCAGCCUCUCUUUCCAGCGCCACAUCGCGUUGGCCAACAACACGGUAACACGAGUGAUGAUGGUCAAAGGGGUAGAGGCAGACACUCUGAGUACCGCCAACAACACGGUGACGCGAGUGGUGAUGGUCAGAGGGGUAGAGGCAGACACUCUGAGUACCACUAUCCGGAGCCGGUAAGAUCUCGUGAUGCUACACCUGACAUCCAGCGGAACCCCGGCGGUGCUGACAAUCAUCAGUAUCCGGCCUAUUUAAGAGCGGGAAUGCACACGGAGCGCAGGUACUAUAUUUGA
Molecule: ribosomal RNA, 3048 nt
Filed under: Triticum aestivum (bread wheat)
Lineage: Eukaryota; Viridiplantae; Streptophyta; Magnoliopsida; Poales; Poaceae
Description: partial small subunit ribosomal RNA
Source: RNAcentral